ACCUACGGGAGGCAGCAGUGGGGAUAUUGCACAAUGGGGGAAACCCUGAUGCAGCGACGCCGCGUGGGCGAAGAAGUAUUUCGGUAUGUAAAGCCCUAUCAGCAGGGAAGAAGAAAUGACGGUACCUGAGUAAGAAGCACCGGCUAAAUACGUGCCAGCAGCCGCGGUAAUACGUAUGGUGCAAGCGUUAUCCGGAUUUACUGGGUGUAAAGGGAGCGUAGACGGCGGCGCAAGUCCGGAGUGAAAGCCCACGGCCCAACCGUGGGACUGCUCUGGAAACUGUGCGGCUUGAGUGCGGGAGGGGG
Molecule: ribosomal RNA, 305 nt
Filed under: uncultured bacterium
Lineage: Bacteria
Description: bacterial SSU rRNA
Rfam family: Bacterial small subunit ribosomal RNA
Source: RNAcentral